This 533-nucleotide ribosomal RNA is filed under the name Corsoua takakurai. RNAcentral describes it as "partial 16S ribosomal RNA". It matches the Rfam family "Bacterial large subunit ribosomal RNA", at positions 1832 to 2624 of the family's 2925-position model. Lineage: Eukaryota; Metazoa; Nemertea; Pilidiophora; Heteronemertea; Lineidae. The record is from RNAcentral.
AGCUUAUUGAUUUUUAUAAUGGGUAUUUUCUGCCCAGUGGUUUAUAAACGGCCGCGGUAUUUUGACUGUGCAAAGGUAGCAUAAUCAUUUGUCCUUUAAUUGGGGGCUAGUAUGAAUGAAAGUUCGAAAUUUCUGCUGUCUUCUUUUGUUGUAUUGGAAUUUGCUGUUUUUAUGAAGAAGUAAAGGUGACAAAAAAAGACAAGAAGACCCUAUUAAGCUUUACUUUUAUGGGUUGAUUUUUUUCUUGUUAGUAUUGUAUUAGGUUUUUAAGGGUUUGGUUGGGGUGACUGAGGCAGAGUUGAUCUUCCUUUUUUGUGGAUAACUUUUAAGUUUAAAUGAGACCCAAGAUUUUUUGGGUGUUAGAAUUAGUUACUAUAGGGAUAACAGCGUAAUUUUUCCGGAGAGUUCUUAUUGGAGGAGAAGUUUGCGACCUCGAUGUUGACUUGUUGUUUCCUUUUUGAGGUGUAGCCGCUGUGAGGGUUAGUCUGUUCGACUAUUAAAACGAUACGUGAGUUGAGUUCAGACCGGUGUGA